Molecule: long non-coding RNA, 214 nt
Filed under: Brassica napus (rape)
Lineage: Eukaryota; Viridiplantae; Streptophyta; Magnoliopsida; Brassicales; Brassicaceae
Description: long non-coding RNA (BNAP_LNC023740)
Source: RNAcentral
UAUCGACGAUUUAACUGUAAUAAAAUGCCGCAAAUUAAAUGUUGAAAAUGUCUUGUUAUUACAUAAACUCCAAAUAAAGAAAUUUUGACUCGGAAAAUGCUGAUCACAUGCAUUAUAUGUAGCUUUUUUUUUUAUCAAACAUUGUAUGUAGCUAAGACCGACAUAUCACGCCUCCCUAUCAAAUCCUUAAUUAAAUCAUAAACCCUACACCCAC